GCGCCAUUAGCUCAGGUGGAGAGAGCUGCGGACUUCUAAUCCGCCGGUCCGGGGUUCAAGUCCCUGAUGGCGUACCA
RNAcentral lists this transfer RNA (77 nucleotides) under Pantoea dispersa. RNAcentral describes it as "tRNA-Arg". It matches the Rfam family "tRNA". Rfam says of the family: Transfer RNA (tRNA) molecules are approximately 80 nucleotides in length. The record is from RNAcentral. Lineage: Bacteria; Pseudomonadati; Pseudomonadota; Gammaproteobacteria; Enterobacterales; Erwiniaceae.